RNAcentral lists this small RNA (578 nucleotides) under Pan troglodytes (chimpanzee). RNAcentral describes it as "processed transcript". The record is from RNAcentral. Lineage: Eukaryota; Metazoa; Chordata; Mammalia; Primates; Hominidae.
GGCGGCGAUGGCGCGGAGCGUGCGCGUGCUGGUGGACAUGGACGGCGUCCUGGCCGACUUCGAGGCCGGCCUCCUGCGGGGCUUCCGCCGCCGCUUCCCUGAGGAGCCGCACGUGCCGCUGGAGCAGCGCCGCGGCUUCCUGGCCCGCGAGCAGUACCGCGCCCUGCGGCCUGACCUGGCGGAUAAAGUGGCCAGUGUGUACGAAGCCCCGGGCUUUUUCCUGGACCUGGAGCCCAUCCCGGGAGCCUUGGACGCUGUGCGGGAGAUGAACGACCUACCGGAGUAAGGAGAGAGGGGGGCGGGCGGAGUCCUGGGCGGGCUCCUGGCUCCCGGCGGUAACGGCGUCCUUCUCCGCAGCACGCAGGUCUUCAUCUGCACCAGCCCCCUGCUGAAGUACCACCACUGUGUGGGUGAGAAGGUGUGGCUGCCCCGCCCCUACUCCGCACGUGUAGCUGCCUAAAUCCUGAUUUUAAAAAGAAACCACCAGAAACCCAGAAGUACCGCUGGGUGGAGCAGCACCUGGGGCCCCAGUUCGUAGAACGAAUUAUCCUGACAAGGGACAAGACGGUGGUCUUGGG